Calidris pugnax (ruff) is the source of this 4512-nucleotide long non-coding RNA. RefSeq lists it as uncharacterized. The transcript is spliced from 8 exons. The record is from RefSeq and is a predicted model, not a curated record. NCBI's taxonomy places the organism in Eukaryota, Metazoa, Chordata, Aves, Charadriiformes, Scolopacidae.
UACCUCUGUAAGUACAGGACCUCUUUCUCUAUUCCUAAUAUGGUGUAAACUGUUAUUCAGAAAAGUGUUGGACGAAGACCUCUAUUAAACCUCUGGCUUUAGGGUGAUGCUGUUAUGACGCCAAGGAACUAUCAGUCUCCCUGAGGAACAGUUUUUUCAUAGCCUCUUGAUUUGACUCUAAAGCAGAAAAGCUCCACCUAAAGCCAAAGGUUUUUUGAAUCAAUUUAAUGAAAAAACCCAAAGUAUACGUGCUCGUACCAGUAACUGCUUUUUUGGUCAGCAGUAUUGACCAGAAGACCUGCAGCAACAGAGGACCUUCUUUCCAGUUGAAAUGACUGUCUCAGCAGCCAGCCAGGAAAUUUGUUUCUGGAUGGAUUCAAUUACACAUUCCUUAAGGUUAACCACAGACAGCAUGUUUACCUAACUGCACAAUCUAUGAGGUCUGUAAUCUGGAAGCAAAUGGAGCAUUUACAGUGCUCCAGGAAGAUGACAUGGAGGCCAGGGAAACCCACUGUGAUUUUGGUUUCCAGGCAAGAUGUGAGAUCCUAUUUCUUUGUUGAUAUGAAUGAUACUUCUGUGCGCAAGAACAAUUGUACCUGAACUUUAGCUGAUGCUCUCCUGCAACACGCGUGGACAUGAAGAAGUAAAAGAGGUGCUUUGAAUGGUGCUCACUGUCAUUACAUUUAAAAAGACAUGCCACUUGCAGCUUGUGUCAAUGUAAGUGAUACUCCAUCAACACACUUUACCAAUCUGAAUGGAUAAUCACUGAAGCGCUUGGAGGACACAUGCAGAUCUGUCUGGAAAUUACCAUCACUACUGCCUUGUGCUCAUGUGUUUGUACUCAUAACUUGUUUUCAGGAUGCACUCUGGAUUUAUGGUUGCAGCAUAUAUUCCCUUUGCUUGAGGACAGAGUUCAGAUAUAGUGCUUGCUAAAGUAGAUGAGCAAGUUUGGAGCUAGAUACCUAUUUAGCAGUUCUUUCUGGCAUAUCACUGAGACUGUUUAACUAUUUUUAAAACUCUUUGCUAACCGUGAUAAGCAAGUGCUCUGUCCUGAACUCCUGUAGAGUACUGAUGCUUGCUCUACCUAGCAAUAUAUUUUGACAAAAUGACAAUUUAAGAGAGUGCUGCUUGUAAUUCAAGGAAAAUUCCAAUUUCAUUGCUGCAAUCUAGGUUCUGCCUUUCUCAAGUCCCAUAUGUUUGCCAUGCCUCUUUUCGUCAUGUCGUGAUCCAACUUUCUGUUCACUGUAUUAGUCUUGAACAGUUUUUAACUUUCAAUAUUAGUGGAGCUACUCGUGGAGAAAAAUGCUAUCUAUCAUGUCAAAGAGGAGCAGAAUCUGGACUUUUGACUGAAAAGUCCUCUCUGCUUUUAUUUCUCUAUAGUGAUUCUUAGAAAUCCAAUGCAGCGGACUAAAUUAAACUAUCCAGAAUAAAUUAUACGAAGGUCAAUUUUUGGCAAGAAGCAAUGUGUUUGAAAUGCUAAUUCUAUUUCUAUGCAUAAUUGCACAAAAUAUUUCAGAAGUGAGAUGUUUAAAAAAAUUCAUGCAACCUUUCCCUUGGAAAUGUAUGUCAGUGGCUGAGAUGGUUACCCAAAACAGAAGAAAGAUGUUCUUUAUCAUGCUGGAAAACAAACGGAUUUCUUCUGAGGGACACAGAUGGUGUAUGUAUUGAGACACAGCAUGUCAUACUGCCUCUCCUGUUAUUCUGUUCUUGUGGUUUCAUCAUGGGAAGUAAACCGUUCUAUAAUUCCUACCUUGUUCUUCACUUCUCAUGCUGUGAAAAACCUGCACAUGGACUCUAGCUGAGGACUUACAUGAUGAAGAAAUCUAGAAAAGGAAAGAAGAAAAAGACUCCAGUAGAAUUUUGGGCUCCAUCCUGGAUUCUGUGAUAACUCCUUGUGCAAGUCUAAGAUGGUAAAGGGCUCUAGGACAGUAAAAGAAGAGUUACUGGCAGAGGAGAACAAGAGCCAGGACUCUCAAAGGAAGCCCUCUCUAAAAAUCCCAUCAGCAGGAUUAAAGUAGCAUACUGGAAGUUGGCUGUGGAGCAGGCAAAGCAGCACAAGCAUGGCUGGAAGAAGGGCUUGGAUCCAGGCUUGGAGGCAGUGUACAGGGGCUAACAAUAGAGUACAAGGUUGGGUAGCCCUUGAACAGGAAGUUUUAUGAUGUGGUUCAAUGAAGCAGAGAAAAAGACUGGGUAGAACAAUCUUCAACCUGAUGGGAAAUGGAGUCAAUGCAAGAUUAAGUGAUUUGACGUCACCAGGGUCAUCCAGGCAACCUGUGGCAGCUAUUGGCAUUGAAUUGCUGCCUCCUGACUGCCAAGCUUAAUGGCAGAACCAUUUUUCUUUCCAUGAUACCUUCGCUCUUCUUACUCUUUCACAUUUUGAUCUGCAGAUUAGACAGACAGGUUGCUGUGGCGACGACACGGAGGAGGUCUCCUGCACACCUGCACCGCAAACAGGGAGUCCUGCCAACACAGACUUAAGGAAUCCUGAAGGCAUCUUUUUUUUAUUCUUCUUUUUUUUUUUUCUUCCUAUGUGGAGUGCACAAGAGAGGGGAGAAGGCAAAAAAAUAGUAGGAGAUGGCAAACGAGGGAGAGGGGAGAGAUGAAGGAAAAGCCAAUCGAUAUUCAAUCAGCUUAGCUGAGCAGCAGUGCUUGUUUGUUGCAAAAUGGAAUGUGCACAAACAACAUGCAUAGGCUGUCCAUAGUAACAGUCUGAGCAAGCUGCCCUUACGAGAGAGAAAAGAACAAGUGUUAUUUUGGUUUUGCCUACUGAGUGUCCUGCAUUUCAUGAUGUCUCUGGGGGAAACUAGAAAAAAGUAACUAUGGAAAUGGCAGAACUCAGGCACAAGACGUGGAGAGGUAAAUGGGUUGUGUAAAGCUGGAAACUGAAGUUACUCGUUUGUAUCUGGCUAGGGAAGAUCUGUUUGUGUUUGUGUGAACAUACAGAUGUAAGAUUUCAUUUCUGAGAGGAAUCCUGCCUUUAGAAAAAGAGCUGCAGAGUGGUGUGAAAAUUGACAUUAUAUGCCUACUCCUUUGCUAAAAGAAAGUAUCCAGAAGGAGGUGGAUGUGGGAAGGAGAAGUAAAGAAAAAAAAAGAAAAUCCUUAUAACCAGGAGGUCCUCAAAACAAACCUUUUGCUCUGGGAUGCCAUGGCAUUUCUCCAGCUUCUCCCAAUGAAGUAGUGAGUUCCAUGGAGAUUCACUGUCCUUGCCUCACCUCUGCUGGAUAUCCCUCUGUCUCCUCCAAGGCUGUCUCCCUUCUCUUCCCCUUGUCCUUUUUCUCCCACCUAUCCCUUUAGAAUCCCUUUCGGUAAUUUUUCACAUCAUCUUUUCCCAGCUUCUAAAAUGACUGUUUGCAUGCCUGCAGCACUAUCCAGUGUACAUACAAACAACAGUUUAACUAAGAUAAAAAAGUGUGUGUGUAGGAACAGGUAGUUGAAUGUACAGAUGAGUCUUUUUUUUUUCUAGAUAUGUCAAAGUGUGUCUGUGUCAUAGACUUAUUUCUCUGCUCUGGCUGUGUCUCUUGUCACUGAAAUGAUGAAGGCUCCCACCUUCAUAAUGGAGAUGUUUGAUAAUAGAAAAAAAAAUAUUAAAGUUUCCAACUGAUAAAGUUAACAAACAAUUGGAACCUGCACUAUAAACUGUGAGAGAAGUGGGAGAGGUGGAGAUGUGAAGGGGGAAGAGACUUUAAUCAGUCUCUGGUUCUUGGAUGCAUCAGAUGUCAGGAGUAUUGCCUAGCCCGCCAGGAAAAAGAGCACGUUGCUGUUCUCAUCACUGCCCCCUUGUCCAGUUGUUUUUUCCAGGCACAGAAUUUCCUGUAACUGGAGAAAGGUGCAAGAGAGAGUUUUCUUCAGACACAGCAAGACCAGGAGUAUGCCAUACUUACUACUGCACUCUUCUGGGGCAGCUACAACUCUGAAACACAUGCUAGCAUUCUGGACUUGGAAAAACAGAAAAGGAAAAAUACAAAGGCAAGAAAAUAACUCCAAGAUCUCAGCAGCUUAGCUAUCCCACCAUCUGUUUAAAAGGACAAAACAUUAAAACAGAACAAAACUUGUGGUCCAACAGCUAUGUCUGCAAAGAAGAAACAGUGCUAUAGUUGAAAUUCUAUGCAGCACCCUUUGGAUCAAAAUAUUGCGACAACAACGAAUAGAAAUGACCACAUUUAAUGGAUACUCAAACAGCUAGGCCAUGACUCAGAUUCCUUACUGUUGUUUGGAAGUGAAACCUGAGAGCUGAGAAGAGAGAGGGGAAGAAACCUUGUGUUAAACUGGCAUGCACCAGUGAAUAAAUGGCUGGCAUUUGCAAAGCUGCAUUGCAGGGGAGCUUUUAACAGUUUGCUGCUGCCAGCUGAUGUCUUUCUAAGCAUCACUGCCAAGAAGCCAAAACUGGAAGCAGGUGCAGGGGCAGAGGAACUGAAUGUGGAAAGGGAGAAAAAAAAAAAAGAGAAAGAACAGAACUUCUGUUGUUAAAAUUCUGUUGCUUUCAUUAAAACCUAAACAAAGCUUUACUUUAAA